Molecule: long non-coding RNA, 530 nt
Filed under: Mytilus galloprovincialis (Mediterranean mussel)
Lineage: Eukaryota; Metazoa; Mollusca; Bivalvia; Mytilida; Mytilidae
Source: RNAcentral
GGCUGAAUUAGAAUAUCCACAAUAAUGUCUAGUAGGGAAAAAAAUAAAAUGCAAAUAGAUGUGAUUAAGCCAUUGAGCUCAAUAGAUCAGUUGUAUUUGUCUACUGUUGACCUCAAGUUGACAUCUAGAUUUCUUAUAGGUUUUUGUGUGGGUCUUCAGUCUCAUUCAUGUAUAGCUCAUAUAUCUUUUGACUUUUUAACAAAUAGAUGACAAUGAAUGAACAGACAAGAGACAACGAGUGAUUGAAAUACCUCACAGUGGGUCUUUUGGAAGCUAGAUGUGGUGAUGGUUUAUAAUUAGUUACCUACAUAUCAGGAUUCCUAUUUCUACUUCUAGAAACUAGUUUAGCUGGACUGUCUUUAGAGUAAGUAAUAGACUGUGUACAUCUAUAUUUCAGACACAAUUGAUCUCUCGUUUUUCAGUUUGUUGAUUACUUAUUUUACAGUUUGUUAACCACUCAUUUUUCACUCAUUAACCACUCUUAUUUCAGUUUGUUAACCACUUAUUUUUCACUCAUUAACCAAUCAUAU